CAUUCGGUAAAGAAAAAGACAAAGAGAAGAAGUUAGACGAUGACAGCAGCAGUACCACAGUUCCUCAGUCAGCUUUCUUGGGCCCAACAUUAUGGGACAAGACACUGCCAUACGACGGAGACACUUUCCAGUUGGAAUACAUGGACCUGGAAGAAUUCCUCUCAGAAAAUGGCAUUCCACCCAGCCCAAACCAGCACGAGCAUAGCCCACACCAGUCAGGUCUCCAGCAAGCUACCUCAGCAUCACCUUCUGUCAUGGACCUCAGCAGCAGGGCUUCUACUUCAGUCCAUCCAGGCAUGGUGUCGCAGAACUGCAUGCAGAGCCCGGUCAGACCAGGUAAAUAA
Mesitornis unicolor (brown roatelo) is the source of this 344-nucleotide RNA transcript. It is a transcript of the gene named hepatic leukemia factor pseudogene, with no coding region annotated. The record is from RefSeq and is a predicted model, not a curated record. NCBI's taxonomy places the organism in Eukaryota, Metazoa, Chordata, Aves, Mesitornithiformes, Mesitornithidae. The transcript has a single exon.